This 575-nucleotide ribosomal RNA is filed under the name uncultured bacterium. Its description in RNAcentral is "bacterial SSU rRNA". It matches the Rfam family "Bacterial small subunit ribosomal RNA", at positions 338 to 917 of the family's 1533-position model. The record is from RNAcentral.
UCUACGGGAGGCAGCAGUGGGGAAUCUUGCGCAAUGGGCGAAAGCCUGACGCAGCGACGCCGCGUGGGGGAUGAAGCUUUUCGGAGUGUAAACCCCUUUCGACUGGGACGAAUGCCUCGCAAGAGGAGUGACGGUACCAGUAGAAGAAGCCCCGGCUAACUACGUGCCAGCAGCCGCGGUAAGACGUAGGGGGCCAGCGUUGUUCGGAAUUACUGGGUGUAAAGGGUUCGUAGGCGGUGUGGCAAGUCGGGAGUGAAAUCUAUGGGCUUAACUCAUAGACUGCUUCCGAAACUGCUGUGCUGGAGUGUGGGAGAGGCGCGUGGAAUUGCAGGUGUAGCGGUGAAAUGCGUAGAUAUCUGCAGGAACACCCGUGGCGAAAGCGGCGCGCUGGACCACUACUGACGCUGAGGAACGAAAGCUAGGGGAGCAAACAGGAUUAGAUACCCUGGUAGUCCUAGCCCUAAACGAUCAGGACUUGGGGUGCCUUCCGUUCGGAAGUCGUCCCGGAGCUAACGCGUUAAGUCCUGCACCUGGGGAGUACGGUCGCAAGACUGAAACUUAAAGGAAUUGACGGA